Molecule: non-coding RNA, 2625 nt
Organism: Chlorocebus sabaeus (green monkey)
Lineage: Eukaryota; Metazoa; Chordata; Mammalia; Primates; Cercopithecidae
Source: RefSeq, a predicted model, not a curated record
GAGCUUACAGUGAGCUGAGAUUGCACCACUGCACUCCAGCCUGGGUGACAGAGCGAGACUCUCUCUCUAAAUAAAUAAGUAAAUAAAUAAAUAAGGAAAGAAAGAAAUCUGUUUAGAUUUUGAUAAGAAUUACAUGUAAUCUACAAAUCACUUUGAGGAGAACUGAUCUUUAUGAUAUUGAGUAUUCCAAUCCAUGAACAUGGUAUAUUUCUCCAGACUCACACAAAUAUUAAUGAAUGCAAAAGAAAACAUAGGAUGGUAGGGUUGUUGAUUCAGAGAACACCCAUGGAAAUGUCAUUCUGGCACUACUUGCCUUCUAAGGGCUGCCUCUGCUCCUUACUUCCUUUUUCUAGGUUGCCCGAUUAUUAUGUGAACUUGUCCUAUGCCCAGUGCUGAUUGAUUCAGGGGAACGCACCUGCCCAGGCCAGUCCAAUAAAUGUCUUUACACAGAUUUUUCAACUGGAGACAGAAAGAGAGUUGAACCAGGCUCUCUGAUUGCAAAAUAUAAAAUUUAGGAGCUCCUGGUAACCAUGCUUCAGAUUAUGUGAACUAGAGGAUUGGGGGAAUUGCUGAGAAAUAAGGUCAAAUCUCAAAGAAACGGAGACAUGACAAGAGAAGAGAGUGGUGUUUGAGUCUCUGGCUCCACAGAGUUCUUACGGUCAAUGAGUUCUGAGAGAUAGUCAGAACUAUCUUGUUUAUGAAUUCCAUGAGACAGCCCAAAAAUCUGUCUUUAGGCUUAAGCUAGUUUGAGUUGGGUUUCUGUCACUUGGAACAAGAGUCCUGACUACUGCAGUUGAGUGGAGUUAAAAGGUAUAGCCUCAAUAGGUGAGCUAGCUCUCGGUUUAAAAGGCUUCCAGUUUGAAUUACACUCCAUUCCCUCUGGUGCCCCUAGAAAGAGCCUUCUCUAACACAGGCCUGGAACUAGCAGACAUGCUUUUGUUUUUUUUUUCUUUGCAGGAAUUGUACUGCCUUGAUUUGGGACAGAUUAUCAGAGGUGGGCACCGUUAUCCUCUCUUUCAUGCAGGAUUAAUCACUUGUCAGCCCAAGGCCAUCCCCUCAGUCACUCUGUUUCCGCCAUCUUCUGAGGAGAUGCAAGCCAACAAGGCCACACUGGUGUGUCUCAUGAGUGACUUCUAUCCAGGAAUCUUGAUGGUGACCUGGAAGGCAGAUGGGACCCCCAUCACCUAGGGCGUGGAGAUGACUGUGCCCUCCAAACAGAGCAACAAAUACGUGGCCAGCAGCUACGUGAGCCUGACGCCCAAGCAGUGGAGAUCCCGCAACAUCUUCAACUGCCAGGUCACGCAUGACGGGAGCACUGUGGAGAAAGACAGUGGCCCCUGCAGAAUGUUCUUAGGUUCCCAACCCUCGCCCCACCCACAGGGGCCUGGAGCUGCAGGAUCCCAGAGGAGGGGUCUCUCUGCAUCCCAAGCCAUCCAGCCCCUCUCCCUGUACCCAGAAAACCCUCAAACGUCUUUUGUCAACCAGAAAUCCUGCUCCCUCUCUUCAUUUCUUAUCUCUCAUACAAUUUGAUGCUUCUCCUGGGUGCUCAGUGUGGCGUUGGGGGAAUCCUGGCACCAGUGGGAAAGUAGCCUGGAGGAGAGGAUCACAGGCUCCCAGGCGUGUCCCCUGGGGACAUAGGCCAGGAUAGGAGGAGUCGGCUCACUGAACACCAGUCCAUCCAUUCUCUCCCACCUCCCCUUCCUCCUUGCAGCUCACCCUCCAACUUGCUGCCUGUGUUUUGGAGGGAGCUCUUUCUGGCUGAGCCUCCAGAUACACCCUCUGUCCCUGUCCUGGUCUGGACCUUCCCCUGACCCACGGCCUCUUUCCUCAGCCUGGAAAUCCUACUCUAGGCCUGGAGUCCCUCUGCUUCUGGCUCUGGCCCCUGGAAUGCCGUCCUUCCUCUCUGUCCAACUCCCCACCCCCAAGGGCUGGACUGUCUAGGACACUGCCACACCAUCAAAUUCAUGAGCUCUUAAAUUUGGGGCCCACUUUGAUUUUUCACCUGACAGCAGGUUCAGAGGUGUGAGAAAAAUAGGAGGAAGUCAGGAAGGAAACACACAUGAAAGGCCUGCAAGAGGCUCAGGACACUUGUAAAAGAUAGGCUCUGAGCUCCCCAGGAACAAGUGCAAGAACGGCAAUAGGUGCUCCAUCAUUUAUUUCUUUCUUUUUUUUUUUCUUAGAUGGAGUCUCUCUCUGUCGCCCAGGCUGGAGUAAAUAGAAAAGAGAGUGGUCAACACUCUAAGAAUUUUCCAUCUCAAGAAGUCAGGAAAAGAACAAAUUAACCUAAAGAGUACAGAAGAAAAUACUAAAUGUAAUAGUAAUUGAUGAAAUAAAAAAUGAAUAAAUAAUAGAGACCACCAAAAAGGCCAAAAAUUUGGUACUUUUAAAAGACUAGUAAAAUUGAUAAAUCCCUGAUGAGACUAAUCAAAAGAAAAAAGGGGAAAAGGCACCAAGAAAGCAAUGUAAGGAAUAAGAAAAGGAACACCUCUGUAGACAUUAAAAUGGUAAAAUGAUAUUGUGAACAAUUUGAUGUUAAGACAUUUCAAAGUUAGAUUACAUGGAUAAAUGCUGGGAAAACUAUAAUCUACCAAAAUGGGCAAAAUAAAUAAAAUUAUUUAAAAAUUC